GGCAGCCGCGGCAGUCUGUGAGCCUGAGUGAAUUUGCAGGGAGUAGGCCGUCCACAAAGGCUAGAAAUAGACAUCCUUUAGCAAGCCGCACCCCCGCCCAGUGCCUAGGAUGAGCGCUAUGGGGUACUCGUGCUGUUUGGGGGAGUCAAACGUGAGCCAGACAAGAAGAUGGGCUAAUGCUCCCUGUUGCAGGCCUCCACAGAACAGCGUUGGAGCUAAACUGAAAGACCCCAGACCUGCUGUGUCCCUAGGCAAUCAAGAGACACAUGAUCUACAGAUGAAGCAGAUGGUAGAACUGAAACUCUUUGUGAAGAGUUGAGGAAAUCUGAAAGCAGUGCUCCGGGGAAUUGUUCAGUGAGAGAGAAAGUUCUGCAAGAAUUUGAAAACUAUAUGCCUUACCAACCUCAGAAGAUACCGAAGGUGGAAAGGAUCUUCUGAAAAAGACAUUGAGGAUGAUCCAAGAUGGCAUGGAACCAAAGAUCUAAGGAGUGGACCAGAGAUGGAACAACACCAAUAAGACACAGAGUGGACCAAAGAGAGCAUGGAAACGUGAGUCCGAAGAGUGGACAAAAGCCAGAGAGCAUCAGUGGUAGGGAGCGCUGCAGCUGAAUCUUCACAAAUAAUCUGGCAACAUGUUGUACUGUGGGUUUCAGAAUUCCCAUGUUUCUGUGAUUUCUGCCUUCUCAUUGUUUUCUUUUUCACUUGGCUUACAGCAGUUAUGAUGGGCCUGUCUUGCUAUUGCAGGUUGGGUGUUUAGGAAGCCUAAAACCAAUCCCAUUGUCCCACGAGUACUCUGAUCCACAGAAAUGACUCUAAAGCAGCAUGACAGGAAUCAUGACCUCAUAUUCAGGAACCCCGCCUGCCCCUGCAUCCUAUAAUGUUUAAACAGUUUGGGAUGGGAUGGGUUUAAAAUUAAAUUUUCAAAUAC
Molecule: long non-coding RNA, 928 nt
Organism: Peromyscus maniculatus bairdii (prairie deer mouse)
Lineage: Eukaryota; Metazoa; Chordata; Mammalia; Rodentia; Cricetidae
Source: RefSeq, a predicted model, not a curated record